UACGUAGGGCGCAAGCGUUGUCCGGAAUUAUUGGGCGUAAAGAGCUCGUAGGCGGCCUGUUGCGUCCGCUGUGAAAGCCCGGGCUUAACCCCGGGUCGGCAGUGGAUACGGGCAGGCUAGAGGUAGGUAGGGGAGAAUGGAAUUCCCGGUGUAGCGGUGAAAUGCGCAGAUAUCGGGAGGAACACCGGUGGCGAAGGCGGUUCUCUGGGCCUUACCUGACGCUGAGGAGCGAAAGCGUGGGGAGCGAACAGG
RNAcentral lists this ribosomal RNA (252 nucleotides) under uncultured bacterium. Its description in RNAcentral is "partial 16S ribosomal RNA". It matches the Rfam family "Bacterial small subunit ribosomal RNA", at positions 524 to 776 of the family's 1533-position model. The record is from RNAcentral.